RNAcentral lists this ribosomal RNA (277 nucleotides) under uncultured bacterium. RNAcentral's name for it is "partial 16S ribosomal RNA". It matches the Rfam family "Bacterial small subunit ribosomal RNA", at positions 28 to 306 of the family's 1533-position model. The record is from RNAcentral.
GACGAACGCUGGCGGCGUGCUUAACACAUGCAAGUCGAGCGGUAAGGCCCUUUCGGGGGUACACGAGCGGCGAACGGGUGAGUAACACGUGGGUGACCUGCCCUCAGCUCUGGGAUAAGCCUGGGAAACCGGGUCUAAUACUGGAUAUGACUCCAUGACGCAUGUUGUGGGGUGGAAAGCCUUGUGCGGCUGAGGAUGGGCCCGCGGCCUAUCAGCUUGUUGGUGGGGUGANGGCCUACCAAGGCGACGACGGGUAGCCGGCCUGAGAGGGCGACCG